Non-coding RNA from Elaeis guineensis (African oil palm), 147 nucleotides. The record is from RefSeq and is a predicted model, not a curated record. NCBI's taxonomy places the organism in Eukaryota, Viridiplantae, Streptophyta, Magnoliopsida, Arecales, Arecaceae.
AUUGUAUUUGAUUUUUUUUGAAGCAAGGAUUGGAUUUUUGUGGUCACGAUGAAUCAGAAAGUUCAACUAAUCAAGUGAAGGCCCUUGCCCCUUAUACCAGUAUACUCGAUGAUGGAUUUCAGCUUUUAAACAGGAUGGCCUCUCAAG